UUACGACCAUGUCAAAUUGAAACACCGGGUCUCGUACGAUUACCGAAGUUAAGCAACGUCGAGUCUGAUCUGUAACUAGAUGAGUGACCGCUUGGGAAUACUAAGUGAUGUAAG
Molecule: non-coding RNA, 114 nt
Organism: Acanthosepion pharaonis
Lineage: Eukaryota; Metazoa; Mollusca; Cephalopoda; Sepiida; Sepiidae
Source: the annotation of a GenBank genome assembly